AUUGAACGCUGGCGGCAGGCCUAACACAUGCAAGUCGAACGGUAGCACAGAGAGCUUGCUCUCGGGUGACGAGUGGCGGACGGGUGAGUAAUGUCUGGGAAACUGCCCGAUGGAGGGGGAUAACUACUGGAAACGGUAGCUAAUACCGCAUAACGUCGCAAGACCAAAGUGGGGGACCUUCGGGCCUCACACCAUCGGAUGUGCCCAGAUGGGAUUAGCUAGUAGGUGGGGUAAUGGCUCACCUAGGCGACGAUCCCUAGCUGGUCUGAGAGGAUGACCAGCAAGACGGGAACUGAGACACGGUCCAGACUCCUACGGGAGGCAGCAGUGGGGAAUAUUGCACAAUGGGCGCAAGCCUGAUGCAGCCAUGCCGCGUGUAUGAAGAAGGCCUUCGGGUUGUAAAGUACUUUCAGCGGGGAGGAAGGCGGUGAAGUUAAUAACUUCACCGAUUGACGUUACCCGCAGAAGAAGCACCGGCUGACUCCGUGCCAGCCGCCGCGGUAA
Molecule: ribosomal RNA, 504 nt
Filed under: uncultured bacterium
Lineage: Bacteria
Description: partial 16S ribosomal RNA
Rfam family: Bacterial small subunit ribosomal RNA
Source: RNAcentral